CCAACUGGUAUGCCGACGCAGUAAGGAGC
Molecule: small RNA, 29 nt
Filed under: Bombyx mori (domestic silkworm)
Lineage: Eukaryota; Metazoa; Arthropoda; Insecta; Lepidoptera; Bombycidae
Description: ovarian small RNA-13465
Source: RNAcentral